UCGCUUUGGGAGGAGCUCGCUUACUAUCAGCUUGUUGGUAGGGUAAUGGCCUACCAAGGCUAUGACGGUUAGGGGGUGUGAGAGCAUGACCCCCAGCAUUGGCACUGAAACACUGGCCAAACACCUACGGGUGGCUGCAGUCGAGAAUCUUCCACAAUGGGGGAAACCCUGAUGGAGCGAUGCUGCGUGCGGGAUGAAGGCCUUCGGGUUGUAAACCGCUUUUGUAGGGGACGAAAUUUUUUGACGGUACCCUUUCGAAUAAGAGGUUGCUAACUCUGUGCCAGCAGCAGCGGUAAUACAGAGACCUCAAGCGUUAUCCGGAUUUACUGGGCGUAAAGCGUCUGUAGGGGGUUUAUUAAGUUCCAAGUAAAAUUUCAAGGCUCAACUUUGAAUUCGCUUGGAAAACUAAUAAACUGGAGUCUAGCAGAGGUGCAUGGAACUUGUGGUGUAGGAGUGAAAUCCGUUGAUAUCACAAGGAACACCAAAGGCGAAGGCAUUGCACUGGGCUAGCACUGACCCUGAGAGACGAAAGCGUGGGGAGCAAAACGGAUUAGAUACCCGUGUAGUCCACGCCCUAAACGAUGGAUGCUAAAUGUUCGGGGAUUCGACCCCCUGGGUGUUACAGCUAACGCGUUAAGCAUUCCGCCUGGGAAGUACGGCCGCAAGGCUAAAACUCAAAGGAAUAGACGGGGAUCCGCACAAGCGGUGGAGCGUCUGGUUUAGUUCGACAGUAAGCGUGGUACCUCACCAGGGUUUGACAUCCCUUGACAGCCUUGGAAACAAGGUUUCCUUCGGGCAAGGUGACAGGUGCUGCAUGGUCGUCGUCAGUUCGUGCCGUGAGGUGUUCCGUUAAGUCGGGAAACGAACGAAACCCCUAUUGCAUGUUACAAUUUCUCAUGCAAGACUGCCCGGAUAUACUGGGAGGAAGGUGGGGAUGACGUCAGAUCUGCAUGGUCCUUAUACCCUGGGCGACACAGGCGCUACAAUGGCAGAGACAAAGGGUUGCAAAACCGCAAGGUGAAGCUAAUCCCAAAAACUUUGUCUAAGUUCGGAUUGAAGGCUGCAAUUCGCCUUCAUGAAGCUGGAAUCGCUAGUAAUCGUGAAUCAGCCACGUCACGGUGAAUAUGUUCCCGGAUCUUGUACUCACCGCCCGUCACACCAAGAGAGUUGGUAGCUCCCGAAGCGUCCCGUUUUAGCGGGGC
RNAcentral lists this ribosomal RNA (1202 nucleotides) under uncultured organism. RNAcentral describes it as "bacterial SSU rRNA". It matches the Rfam family "Bacterial small subunit ribosomal RNA", at positions 215 to 1455 of the family's 1533-position model. The record is from RNAcentral.